UAGCUCACUAGUCGAGAGGUCCUGCGCCGAAAAUGUCCGGGGCUGAAACACACUACCGAAGCUUAGGAAUUGAUGAAUGUCAAUUGGUAGAGGAGCAUUCUUACCGAGACGAAGCUGUACCGGAAGGAGCAGUGGAUUGGUAAGAAGAGAGAAUGCCGGAAUGAGUAGCGAGAGGAAGGUGAGAAUCCUUCCGGCCGAAUAUCUAAGGUUUCCAGAG
Molecule: ribosomal RNA, 217 nt
Filed under: Mediterraneibacter gnavus
Lineage: Bacteria; Bacillati; Bacillota; Clostridia; Lachnospirales; Lachnospiraceae
Description: [Ruminococcus] gnavus partial 23S ribosomal RNA
Rfam family: Bacterial large subunit ribosomal RNA
Source: RNAcentral